RNAcentral lists this transfer RNA (88 nucleotides) under Thermococcus barophilus MP. Its description in RNAcentral is "tRNA-Leu". It matches the Rfam family "tRNA". Rfam says of the family: Transfer RNA (tRNA) molecules are approximately 80 nucleotides in length. The record is from RNAcentral. Lineage: Archaea; Methanobacteriati; Methanobacteriota; Thermococci; Thermococcales; Thermococcaceae.
GAGCGGGGGUGCCCGAGCCUGGCCAAAGGGGGCGGACUUAAGAUCCGCUGCCGGAGGGCUGCGCGGGUUCGAAUCCCGUCCCCCGCAC